GAUUAAGUUAUUAAGGGCGCACGGUGGAUGCCUUGGCACUAGAAGCCGAUGAAGGACGUUACUAACGACGAUAUGCUUUGGGGAGCUGUAAGUAAGC
This 97-nucleotide ribosomal RNA is filed under the name Staphylococcus aureus. RNAcentral's name for it is "partial 23S ribosomal RNA". It matches the Rfam family "Bacterial large subunit ribosomal RNA", at positions 1 to 97 of the family's 2925-position model. The record is from RNAcentral. RNAcentral also lists the same sequence under 4 other names. Lineage: Bacteria; Bacillati; Bacillota; Bacilli; Caryophanales; Staphylococcaceae.